UGAAGAAGCAGUGCACCAUAAACUUAAUAAAUGCUUUACAGCAAUUUUUACCCACAAAAAAUGCAAAUGCUAUUGCAUUACCCAAAAAAGUGUUGAUUACUCUCAACUUUUUGGCCACAGGGUCUUUCCAGAAUUCUGUAGGUUCCAAUACCUGGUUAUCAGCAAGUCAACCUUCAGUAAGUAGAGCGGUAAAUGAAAUUUGUUCUACAAUUGCUGAGUAUUUAUUACCCACUUGGGUUCAGUUUCCUACUACCGAGGAGUCAAUUAGACUGGUCAAACAGGGAUUCUUCUUAAAAUAUGGGUUCAGAGGUGUUUUAGGAGCAGUAGAUGGAACUCAUGUGGAA
Long non-coding RNA from Coccinella septempunctata (seven-spotted ladybird), 344 nucleotides. RefSeq lists it as uncharacterized. NCBI's taxonomy places the organism in Eukaryota, Metazoa, Arthropoda, Insecta, Coleoptera, Coccinellidae. The transcript is spliced from 3 exons. The record is from RefSeq and is a predicted model, not a curated record.